Chelonia mydas (Green sea turtle) is the source of this 1241-nucleotide long non-coding RNA. RefSeq lists it as uncharacterized. NCBI's taxonomy places the organism in Eukaryota, Metazoa, Chordata, Testudines, Cheloniidae. The transcript is spliced from 5 exons. The record is from RefSeq and is a predicted model, not a curated record.
CAAUAUGCUGGGACUGAUACUUCUACAACACUUCUGCAUAAUCAAGACAAUAAUAGAUACAAAGAAACUGUCAUUUCUCUAUGCAAUAUACAGUAGAAACUCAGAGUUAUGAACACCUUGGGAAUGGAGGUUGUUCGUAACUCUGAAAUGUUCAUAACUCUGAACAAAAUGUUAUGGCUGUUCUUUCAAAAGUGUACAAUUCAAUAUUGAUUUAACACAGCUUUGAAGCUUCACUAUGCAGAAGAAAAAUGCUGCUUUUGACCAUCUUAAUUUAAAUGAAACAAGCACAGAAACAGUUUCUUUACCUUGUCAAAGCUUUUUUUAAACUUUCCCUUUUUUUUAGUAGUUUACUUUUGACACAGUACUGUACUGCAUUUGUUUUGUUGUCUCCGCAGCUUCCUGAUUGCAUAUUUCUGGUUCCCAAUGAAAUGUGUGGUUGACCGAUCAGUUCUUAACUCUGGCGUUCAUAAGUCUGAGGUUCUACUGUACUGUGCUUCUGGCUUAGUUGCCGUAUAGAAGAUUUGUAGGACCAGAUACUCUGCAGCUGUAAAUCAGCAUAUCUCCAUUGACGUCAGUGGAGCUACACCGGCUAACACCAGCAGAGGACCUGAUCAAUAGUUUCUUUAACGGAGUAUGAAUCAGACUGGAGAUCAGAUGCCACUGGGAUGGACACUGUGGCAAUGAGUGGCAGUAUAAGGCCCAAGAUAGACUCAUUCACUACAGGGCCUUGCUUAUCGGGUAUAAGAGAUGGAAGAGGAAAGGUAUGGCUAGGCAUGUGGGGAAAUAGCUGGACUCAACUUGAGAGGAGCCUUUGUUGACCUGUUUAUACUCUGGAAAUGGGAAACUUUGUUUGGUUUAGUGGCGAUGGAGAGACCACCCUGUGACAAUCUGGGAGGGAUGAUACAAAAUGGAAAGGACAUUUUGUCCACGGAGGGCCUCAACAAACUUUGCAGAAAAGUUGGAAGGACCUUGGCCUACCUGGGCUCCAUAAGGCUGAUGGCUGACCUCUGCCCCUGCAGAAAACUUAACCACAGCUGCUGGACAGACUGGGGAAAUGAUGUCACAGUGAGCUGCAGAGGGACUGCAAGCCUAACCCCCUAGCCUGGAGUUUAGAUGUUUGAAUGAGGUAUGGAUGGAUGAUGGAAUCAACCUCCAGCCUCAACCCAUCCUGAUGAAAUAAAGUGUCAACACCAACGGCUGAAGAUGCAGACAACAACCCUGACAGAGCAAGAAGAGUCCAC